RNAcentral lists this ribosomal RNA (900 nucleotides) under Fomitopsis serialiformis. Its description in RNAcentral is "eukaryotic LSU rRNA". It matches the Rfam family "Eukaryotic large subunit ribosomal RNA", at positions 40 to 926 of the family's 3401-position model. Lineage: Eukaryota; Fungi; Basidiomycota; Agaricomycetes; Polyporales; Fomitopsidaceae. The record is from RNAcentral.
AUAUCAAUAAGCGGAGGAAAAGAAACUAACAAGGAUUCCCCUAGUAACUGCGAGUGAAGCGGGAAAAGCUCAAAUUUAAAAUCUGGCGGUCUUCGGCCGUCCGAGUUGUAGUCUGGAGAAGUGCUUUCCGCGCUGGACCGUGUACAAGUCUCUUGGAACAGAGCGUCAUAGAGGGUGAGAAUCCCGUCUUUGACACGGACUACCAGUGCUCUGUGAUGCGCUCUCAAAGAGUCGAGUUGUUUGGGAAUGCAGCUCAAAAUGGGUGGUAAAUUCCAUCUAAAGCUAAAUAUUGGCGAGAGACCGAUAGCGAACAAGUACCGUGAGGGAAAGAUGAAAAGCACUUUGGAAAGAGAGUUAAACAGUACGUGAAAUUGCUGAAAGGGAAACGAUUGAAGUCAGUCGCGUUAGCCAGGACUCAGCCUUGUUUUUACUUGGUGCAUUUUCUGGUUGACGGGCCAGCAUCGAUUUUGAUCGCCGGAAAAAGGUUGGGGGAAUGUGGCACCUUCGGGUGUGUUAUAGCCCUCAAUCACAUACGGUGAUUGGGAUCGAGGACCGCAGCACGCCUUUAUGGCCGGGGUUCGCCCACGUUCGUGCUUAGGAUGCUGGCGUAAUGGCUUUAAACGACCCGUCUUGAAACACGGACCAAGGAGUCUAACAUGCCUGCGAGUGUUUGGGUGGAAAACCCGAGCGCGUAAUGAAAGUGAAAGUUGAGAUCCCUGUCGCGGGGAGCAUCGACGCCCGGACUUGAACUUCGGUGAUAGAUCUGCGGUAGAGCAUGUAUGUUGGGACCCGAAAGAUGGUGAACUAUGCCUGAAUAGGGUGAAGCCAGAGGAAACUCUGGUGGAGGCUCGUAGCGAUUCUGACGUGCAAAUCGAUCGUCAAAUUUGGGUAUAGGGGCGA